GAAACAACCAUAGCUGCAAUCUUGCUGACACAGAUUAAAUCAGAUCUUUAUCUUGCUCCUUUCAGCAUCUCCACACUAGAGAUUGGGAAAGGAGUUUUAAAAUUUUAUAUCCAAGGUCUGCAAAGAAAAAAUACAUGGCAUUAAUUAGCCAGUAAUCUGGAGUCUGAAGCCAGCUAUAUAUGUGCUUAUAUGACUUGACAGGCCAUUGUACAGGAAAGUGAUCUGCCUCAGAAUCAAAGUAUUACUAGGAAGAAUCUUUGCAGAUUAUGUCAUAAGUGGAACUGGUAAAACAUUCUUGCACUGAGAACACUCAAUUCCUAACCCACUAAUUUAAGGGUGGAACUAUUUCUGGAAAUAUUAUGAGCCUGAUGAAGAACUUCUUAUUCUGAGUGAAAAAGAAGGUGGUUUUACAAAGAAAUUAUGUUACCUAUUGAUGGAGAGCAAAUACCUAUGACAGACAGAGGAGGAAGACAGAGGAGGAAAGGAUACCACAACUGCAGAUUGCUGCAGAAUACUUCCUCAGCCAGUCACCGCAGUAAAUACACACCAUCUAGCAUUGCUUCAAGUUCCUCUGAGUGUUUCCAAAUUAACAGUUAAGUGCAGUUCACCUCUUGGAAAAGUUACUGUUUUGACUUGGAAUGUCUGUGCUAUGAAUCACAGAUAGAUACUUGUAACAGCUAUUUGUUUUGAAGGCAGAGGACAUUUCUCUACUGAGCUCUAUGUGAAAUAGUUUAAAUAGUCUCUAAUAUGAGCAUGUAGGUUAAUUUUCUACUGCAGGUCAGAACCCUAAAUUACCAGGGUUUUGCAGCUGUAGGAAACCUUGCAUUGUUCAAGGCCGGCCAAAUAAAUCUGUUUAAAAAUAUCA
This 865-nucleotide long non-coding RNA is filed under the name Anas platyrhynchos platyrhynchos (common mallard). Its description in RNAcentral is "lncRNA (ENSAPLG00000025708.1)". The record is from RNAcentral. Lineage: Eukaryota; Metazoa; Chordata; Aves; Anseriformes; Anatidae.